UGGGUGAUAUUGCACAAUGGGCGAAAGCCUGAUGCAGCGACGCCGCGUGGGGGAUGAAGGCUUUCGGGUUGUAAACCUCUUUCGCUAUCGAACAAGGCCCGCUUAGGGUGGGUUGAGGGUAGGUGGAGAAGAAGCGCCGGCUAACUACGUGCCAGCAGCCGCGGUAAUACGUAGGGCGCGAGCGUUGUCCGGAAUUAUUGGGCGUAAAGGGCUUGUAGGCGGCUUGUUGCGCCUGCUGUGAAAACGCGGGGCUUAACUUCGCGCGUGCAGUGGGUACGGGCCGGCUUGAGUGUGGUAGGGGUGACUGGAAUUCCAGGUGUAGCGGAGGAAUGCGCAGAUAUCUGGAGGAACACCGAUGGCGAAGGCAGGUCACUGAGCCAUUACUGACGCUGAGGAGCGAAAGCAUGGGUAGCGAACAGG
This 420-nucleotide ribosomal RNA is filed under the name bacterium. RNAcentral's name for it is "partial 16S ribosomal RNA". It matches the Rfam family "Bacterial small subunit ribosomal RNA", at positions 355 to 776 of the family's 1533-position model. The record is from RNAcentral.